CUACGGGUUGCAGCAGUGGGGAAUAUUGCACAAUGGGCGCAAGCCUGAUGCAGCCAUGCCGCGUGUAUGAAGAAGGCCUUCGGGUUGUAAAGUACUUUCAGCGGGGAGGAAGGGAGUAAAGUUAAUACCUUUGCUCAUUGACGUUACCCGCAGAAGAAGCACCGGCUAACUCCGUGCCAGCAGCCGCGGUAAUACGGAGGGUGCAAGCGUUAAUCGGAAUUACUGGGCGUAAAGCGCACGCAGGCGGUUUGUUAAGUCAGAUGUGAAAUCCCCGGGCUCAACCUGGGAACUGCAUCUGAUACUGGCGAGCUUGAGUCUCGUAGAGGGGGGUAGAAUUCCAGGUGUAGCGGUGAAAUGCGUAGAGAUCUGGAGGAAUACCGGUGGCGAAGGCGGCCCCCUGGACGAAGACUGACGCUCAGGUGCGAAAGCGUGGGGAGCAAACAGGAUUAGAUACCCUAGUAGUC
This 464-nucleotide ribosomal RNA is filed under the name uncultured bacterium. RNAcentral's name for it is "partial 16S ribosomal RNA". It matches the Rfam family "Bacterial small subunit ribosomal RNA", at positions 339 to 795 of the family's 1533-position model. The record is from RNAcentral.